UACGGAGGGUCCAAGCGUUAUCCGGAUUCAUUGGGUUUAAAGGGUGCGUAGGCGGUCUAAUAAGUCAGUGGUGAAAGCCUCCCGCUCAACGGGAGAAUUGCCAUUGAUACUGUUAGACUUGAAUCUAGUUGAAGUGGGCGGAAUACGUCAUGUAGCGGUGAAAUGCAUAGAUAUGACGUAGAACGCCGAUUGCGAAGGCAGCUCACUAAGUUAGUAUUGACGCUGAGGCACGAAAGCGUGGGUAGCGAACAGG
Molecule: ribosomal RNA, 253 nt
Filed under: uncultured bacterium
Lineage: Bacteria
Description: partial 16S ribosomal RNA
Rfam family: Bacterial small subunit ribosomal RNA
Source: RNAcentral